Long non-coding RNA from Athalia rosae (coleseed sawfly), 2235 nucleotides. RefSeq lists it as uncharacterized. The transcript is spliced from 5 exons. Lineage: Eukaryota; Metazoa; Arthropoda; Insecta; Hymenoptera; Athaliidae. The record is from RefSeq and is a predicted model, not a curated record.
UCGUAGAAUCACGAAUCAGUCGACUAAAUUGUGCUGAUAUUAGAACUAACCGGUAUAUCUCAAUUUAUUUCGUUCUGAAAAACGAAAAUUGACGAUAACCUGACCGUAUUAAUGCAAAGAUAUGAUUUAAAUAUUGUUAAUUUUAGAUGGAACAAAUGAGUUUUGUUAAUUAUUGUGAGCUCGAGAAUCAACGAGUUAUGUCUGUCACCCCCUCCCAUAAUAUACAAUAGCACAAUGUACGAAAAAAAAAAAAAUUUCGAAUUUUUUUUAUUGUGUACACUUGGUGCCUCCGAUUCUGAACUACAGGCCUGGGCUUUAGUAUGCCAAAGCGGUACAGAAUUGAUUUUCCCGAGUAUACUCCGACUUAUUUAACUCCUGAACUCUUAUAUAUUUACUUCCUUAAUCGGUUACAUAGAAUUCGCAGAACUACCGCAAAGGGAUGCCGCCGUUCAGGUGGAUCAAAGGGGUGAUUUAUGAGGUGUGAACAAGAUUUUUAUCAGGUGAUGACAGCUCGUCCGACACCUGCUAACAAUAGGAGCAAGUAAAUAAACAAGGACUGUGAUUUCACACCUCAUCACCUAUUAAAAAGCCAUAAAUUAUGUUUAAAUUCUGGCACGUGCCGUAGGUCAAGAUGCCCAAAGCACGUGUAAAAAUCGGAAGUCCCAUUGGCUAAUGCGAACUUCUUUUUGAUUGGGUGAGCCGGAGCUUGGCACCGAACUCCGCGCGGACUGCAUUUGCCCAAUGAUUUUUACAUGUGGAUUUUGGUGCGAGAGAGCUCAGCGUGGUGGGAGCGCAAGACGUGAGGCAAUACGCCGCAAAGCGGUAGAAAGACGAACGAGAUAGAGAGCGCUCGAGUCCAGCCCGCUAAAAUAUGAAACCUCGGGCUACGUAACCCGCCAUCACGUUUCCCGCCGUAUCUCGAGAACGAAUGAUCGGAAUUUGAUGAUCCAAAAUGGAUCGUCCGAUCGAACGGUGAAUCAAGCUUCAAUUUCGGCAACGAUUCAAGUCAACUGAGACAUCUCAAAUCUGUAGUUCGCAGAUGCGAAAAAUUCCUCAAAACAUGAGAAAGAGAAAUUGUAAUAUGACUGACAAUCAAUGAAGCCAAAAAAGGAUGCAAACGAAGAGCAGCACGCGUGUAUUGCUAUAAUCUGAUGAAAUUCUUGGAAGUAAUUUGAAUCGCGACAUGAGUUACAAAUAGAGUCGUCCAUUGAGAAAGUAUGGGCAGAUGUCCUACCUGGCGCCUAUACAUAGUGUUUAAUUACUAACGAUAAAUAUACAUACGCUUACGAAAGAUGAAUUUAAAUCGUGCGUAGGGUAUGUAACCCGUUUUGUAACUAUCAGCUCACAGGGCCGCUGUAGCAGACCGCAAGCACGAAGAUAUCCAACUAUAUGAACAAUAGCUGUUGCGAGAACAAUCGAUACCAUGAAACCAUAUUUGUUAAUCGUCUGUUCGUUAUGGAGAUCAGUUUCCAGAAACGCGGCAAGGGAGUUGUCAACCUGUAACGACGACCUCGCGGUCCACGUGCAGCAUGGGCGAGCGAACUCCAAGUCGUAUUAAGCCUCGAGGACACGGACAAACCAAACUACCGACGAAUUUAUGCGGUCAUAGAUCUCAACGUCGCUCAGGGCCACGCGGUAAUACACCGGCCGUUCAGGAAAUCAAGGGGACAUCGCGUGUAUUGCGGAUCUCAUCUCCGCGGGCAGAAAUUUCUAUGAGGCUCGGCAGUGUUCUGUUAUCACCCGGUAGUCGUGACGUCGAGCAGGUACGUACGUACAGGGGGAGAACGCUGAUUACCGAUAUGCUUGGAGUUUACGGGAAUAAAGGAAGAUUGAAAUGAGAUUUGAACCCAAGUCACGAAUUACACCCGCAGGAAAGAACGAGCAUAGGAUGAAAUGCCAAGGAAGUCAGGCCUUGAAUGAGAAUAAACGAGCGGUUUACGUGUGCACGUAUCAGCGAAGUCUAUACGGACGGAAGUAACCAGAAUUUUUACACGCUGAUAUAAGUCAGCAGCAUGCGAAAUCCAAGUCAACGGUUCAUUAGCGUUGACCUUGUUACAUCAAGGAGCUAUACCUUACGCCCACGACUGCUCACGACGUUUUUCGAAAUUCUCUGCGAUGCAGACGGUAAGUACAACCGCGUCAUAAUUUCUAGAACGCUAAUGAGAAUAAUUGAGGAACAACGAUGCGCAGAGCUCGAUCCGUUCAAACGACUCGCGUAUUAUACGAAAUGACAUA